Molecule: long non-coding RNA, 1555 nt
Filed under: Homo sapiens (human)
Lineage: Eukaryota; Metazoa; Chordata; Mammalia; Primates; Hominidae
Description: HSALNT0369862
Source: RNAcentral
UGAUCCUCCUAGCUCAAUUCAACACUUACAGUAAAAACGAAUAGAAAGGGACCUGUUUAUGAAACUCUCCUGCUUGCCUUUGGAAUACUCUCAUCCUCUCCCUUCUCAGCCUCCUAAAUACCCAAGUGAAUUUAUAUAAUGAGCUUUAUUUUAUCACCCUGAAAUUCUUCCUCAGUCCAAAUUGCUAAUGUGGCAGGUUCCAGCUGCCCAAAUUCCCUAAACAACAUUGCCUGUUCCAUAAAAAGCAUGCAAUUACAAGCACAGCAGUCCUGCUCUGGUUCUUAGAACUAUAAACUGACUACACAGCUCCCUGGCCCGGGAAGGCUAUGAAACAGGCAACAUGGACAAUUUAAAGGUGUACAACAUCCGAGGUUCCAUUUCACCCUCAGGCAGCACGGAGUGGACAAGGUAAGGCCACCCUCCACUUUUCUUCUGGCUACUAUAUUGAUUCUCUGGAAACUCUCUCUGCUCCAAAAGAAACCACCCAAUCCCAUGGAGAAAAGAGAUGGGGUCUCACUUUGUCACCCAGGCUGGGCUCAAACUCUUGGCUUCAAGCGAUCUUCUCGCCUUGGUCUCCCAAAGUGCUGGGAUUACAGGCUUGAACUACUGUACUCGACUGACUUUUCCUAUUUCUAAUGUCAGCAUGAAGAACACAAGAAGUCAGCUUCAAAGGGACAUCAUGUUCUGGGAGAAAAUCGUUCUAUUUCAUGCCUAAAAUGGUAACAAAGCAAGUGAAAGCUGAUCUGCUGUGUGUCUCCUGGAUAGUGACAGGUUCUGGUACCCAAAUAAGCAGACCUAAUGAAGCUCAGAGAUUCCCAGCUUGGAUGAACUAUUUACUCCUCAUGAGCUCAAUAUUAACUGUGGAGUCAUCUUGCAACUACAGAGCCCUUUGCAGAGUGACCACAGGAAGCCAGGCAUGGAGGAAGAAGGCGACAAUAAGCAGUCACUUGUGUUAUUACUGAAGAGACCACAGGGAUCUGUCCAAUUAUUCAAAUGCACAUCUGGAAAAAAUUCACCUGUCUUGAACUCUUGUUUGUUCAACAGCAAAACAAGCAAAAGCACCACAAAAUGCUCAAUCAGGGCGAUCUUUUCAAUUGUGGAGUCUGAACGUUUUCCCACCUGAGCAUCAUAAAUAAGGCAAAUUGCAUAAUAGGAUAAUAAUAGUUGUUGCUGAAAGAUGCAAUCAUAAAAUAAAAGGACCUUUCGAAAUCUGAGUAUAGAUGGUAAUUAUCCAGGAAUGGAAUACAAAGAGGAGCAAUUUCAAGGUUCCUGCUUCGUCUUGUUAUCGUGAAACUGAGACGGCCAAAUGCCAAAGAGGGCUCUUUCAGUUACAAGAGACCUUCCAAUGUCUUUGACAACAGUGCUAUUCCCUUCUGUUAGAGUGCUGUAGUACACCAUCUUGUAUAUCCGUCUAAUCUCAAAUGCCACAAUUCACAAAGUUGCCACUUGUUCUUUCCUGCUACCAAAACCAGAAUUCUAGCUGGUAAGCUCCACAGCAGAAAAAAAAAAUGAGGAAAAAAGUAAUAAAUUGUGGUUCUUUAUACUUCAGUGUUAU